This 418-nucleotide ribosomal RNA is filed under the name uncultured bacterium. Its description in RNAcentral is "bacterial SSU rRNA". It matches the Rfam family "Bacterial small subunit ribosomal RNA", at positions 89 to 507 of the family's 1533-position model. The record is from RNAcentral.
UGUGAGGUGGCGCACGGGUGAGUAACACGUAGGUAAUCUGCCUUCAGGUCUGACAUAACCCCGAGAAAUCGGGGCUAAUAGCAGAUGAUGCAGCGGCUUGACAUCAAGACAGUUGUUAAAGCUUCGGCGCCUGAAGAUGAGCCUGCGUCUGAUUAGCUAGUUGGCGGAGUAAUAGCCCACCAAGGCGACGAUCAGUAGCUGGUCUGAGAGGAUGAUCAGCCACACUGGAACUGAGACACGGUCCAGACUCCUACGGGAGGCAGCAGUAAGGAAUAUUGCUCAAUGGGAGAAAUCCUGAAGCAGCAACGCCGCGUGAGGGAUGAAGGGCUUUUGCUCGUAAACCUCUGUAGUGAGGGAAAAAAUUUCCAUUCUAUGGAAUAUGAUGGUACCUCAAAAGUAAGCCCCGGCUAACUACGUG